RNAcentral lists this long non-coding RNA (704 nucleotides) under Anas platyrhynchos platyrhynchos (common mallard). RNAcentral's name for it is "lncRNA (ENSAPLG00000026066.1)". The record is from RNAcentral. Lineage: Eukaryota; Metazoa; Chordata; Aves; Anseriformes; Anatidae.
AGCUUGUGUGUCUUAGGCAAUGUAGCCUGUGUAGUGUCUGUUGUGUGGCCUGGGCAGAUUUUGCUGUGGUGCUGUGAGUGAAGAAUCUGAGUUAGAGCUGGUGAGCAGCUGAAGUACCGGAGCUGGGAAGAGAGAGGUCUUGCAGCAGGUACACUGUGGCUGUGAGGUGCCUCAGAGUGUGCUUUUCCCUUUUCUCUGCAGGUGCUUUGUGCAGUCGUGGACAGGGAAGGGAUAUCUUCCUGUGAUGGAGCUCUGAGGGAAGGUGGCGUGGGUGAUGUUGGCCGCUCCUUUCAAGCUUGGACCUAAUUUUCAGGUACAGAGGCAAGUGGCCUGCUGUUUUGAAAGGAUAAAAGCUGAAACGCAGUGCGCAGUGCAGGACCUCUCGACCCAAGCUGCCUCUGCAGUGACUCUGGUGCUUGAUGAGCAGAGGUAACUGUUGUUUUUGGGGCGCGAUUGUCACUGCAGUUAUUUUCCUACAUCCAAUAGAGUAAAAUUCCAGUUUGCCUUUUAGAGGUGCUAUAAGUGGGUGAAGAGAACAGAUGGAAGCAUGUGCCACGUGGGGUAGGCAGACGGCUGAGGUACAGGAGGGGAUGAGAGUAUGUGAUUUUUUUCUGGGGACGAAAUGGAAUUAAUUUUGUUGGUGUAUAAUCUGUUCUGCACCUAGAUUUUUCUUUCAAUGUGAAUAAAAGUUUGAGCUAAUUCCA